GACGAACGCUGGCGGCGUGCUUAACACAUGCAAGUCGAACGGAAAGGCCCUGCUUUUGUGGGGUGCUCGAGUGGCGAACGGGUGAGUAACACGUGAGUAACCUGCCCUUGACUUUGGGAUAACUUCAGGAAACUGGGGCUAAUACCGGAUAGGAGCUCCUGCUGCAUGGUGGGGGUUGGAAAGAUUCGGCGGUUGGGGAUGGACUCGCAGCUUAUCAGCUUGUUGGUGGGGUAGUGGCUUACCAAGGCUUUGACGGGUAGCCGGCCUGAGAGGGUGACCGGCCACAUUGGGACUGAGAUACGGCCCAGACUCCUACGGGAGGCAGCAGUGGAGAAUAUUGCACAAUGGGCCGAAGCCUGAUGCAGCAACGCCGCGUGCGGGAUGACGGCCUUCGGGUUGUAAACCGCUUUCGCCUGUAACGAAGCGUGAGUGACGGUAAUGGGUAAAAAAGCACCGGCUAACUACGUG
RNAcentral lists this ribosomal RNA (468 nucleotides) under uncultured bacterium. RNAcentral's name for it is "partial 16S ribosomal RNA". It matches the Rfam family "Bacterial small subunit ribosomal RNA", at positions 28 to 507 of the family's 1533-position model. The record is from RNAcentral.